This 424-nucleotide ribosomal RNA is filed under the name uncultured bacterium. RNAcentral describes it as "partial 16S ribosomal RNA". It matches the Rfam family "Bacterial small subunit ribosomal RNA", at positions 359 to 775 of the family's 1533-position model. The record is from RNAcentral.
GAAUUUUGGACAAUGGGGGCAACCCUGAUCCAGCCAUCCCGCGUGUGCGAUGAAGGCCUUCGGGUUGUAAAGCACUUUUGGCAGGGAAGAAAAGGCUCUGGCUAAUACCUGGAGCUGCUGACGGUACCUGCAGAAUAAGCACCGGCUAACUACGUGCCAGCAGCCGCGGUAAUACGUAGGGUGCAAGCGUUAAGCGGAAUUACUGGGCGUAAAGCGUGCGCAGGCGGUUUGGCAAGAAGGAUGUGAAAUCCCAGGGCUUAACCUUGGAACUGCAUUCUUAACUGCCAGGCUAGAGUAUGUCAGAGGGGGGUAGAAUUCCACGUGUAGCAGUGAAAUGCGUAGAGAUGUGGAGGAAUACCGAUGGCGAAGGCAGCUCCCUGGGAUAAUACUGACACUGAGGUGCGAAAGCAUGGGGAGCAAACAG